This 482-nucleotide ribosomal RNA is filed under the name Klebsiella pneumoniae. Its description in RNAcentral is "partial 23S ribosomal RNA". It matches the Rfam family "Bacterial large subunit ribosomal RNA", at positions 1 to 522 of the family's 2925-position model. Lineage: Bacteria; Pseudomonadati; Pseudomonadota; Gammaproteobacteria; Enterobacterales; Enterobacteriaceae. The record is from RNAcentral.
GGUUAAGCGACUAAGCGUACACGGUGGAUGCCCUGGCAGUCAGAGGCGAUGAAGGACGUGCUAAUCUGCGAAAAGCGUCGGUAAGGUGAUAUGAACCGUUAUAGCCGGCGAUGUCCGAAUGGGGAAACCCAGUGUGAUUCGUCACACUAUCGUUAACUGAAUACAUAGGUUAACGAGGCGAACCGGGGGAACUGAAACAUCUAAGUACCCCGAGGAAAAGAAAUCAACCGAGAUUCCCCCAGUAGCGGCGAGCGAACGGGGAGCAGCCCAGAGUCUGAAUCAGCUUGUGUGUUAGUGGAACGGUCUGGAAAGUCCGACGGUACAGGGUGAUAGUCCCGUACACCAAAAUGCACAAGCUGUGAACUCGAAGAGUAGGGCGGGACACGUGGUAUCCUGUCUGAAUAUGGGGGGACCAUCCUCCAAGGCUAAAUACUCCUGACUGACCGAUAGUGAACCAGUACCGUGAGGGAAAGGCGAAAAGA